GACGGAGGAUGCAAGUGUUAUCCGGAAUCACUGGGCGUAAAGCGUCUGUAGGUGGUUUAAUAAGUCGACUGUUAAAUCUUGAGGCUUAACCUCAAAAUCGCAUUCGAAACUAUUAGACUUGAGUAUAGUAGAGGUAAAGGGAAUUUCCAGUGGAGCGGUGAAAUGCGUAGAUAUUGGAAAGAACACCGAUGGCGAAGGCACUUUACUGGGCUAUUACUGACACUCAGAGACGAAAGCUAGGGUAGCAAAUGGGAUUAGAUACCCCAGUAGUCCUAGCCGUAAACAAUGGAUACUAGAUGUUGGACAGAUCGACCUGUGCAGUAUCAAAGCUAACGCGUUAAGUAUCCCGC
RNAcentral lists this ribosomal RNA (350 nucleotides) under Bolidophyceae sp. RNAcentral describes it as "SSU rRNA". It matches the Rfam family "Bacterial small subunit ribosomal RNA", at positions 524 to 872 of the family's 1533-position model. Lineage: Eukaryota; Bolidophyceae. The record is from RNAcentral.